Callipepla squamata (scaled quail) is the source of this 52-nucleotide non-coding RNA. NCBI's taxonomy places the organism in Eukaryota, Metazoa, Chordata, Aves, Galliformes, Odontophoridae. The record is from Rfam.
GGCGCCGGUGGUGGCACUCCCACUGGGACGGGGUUCGAGUCCCCGCGGCACC